GAUGUUGAUUGAUUGUGUUCAUUAUUUAAUUUUAUUUUUCGUGGCUUAGUUGCUUCUAACACUUCUCUGAAAUUCUUCGUGCUCGAUUUAGAUAAAUAAAUUUGGAGCAUAAGGUUGAAUUCGGGAUAAGAAAAGGAUCACAAUGGUGGUGGUCUCGUGUUCUGAAUUUAUGAAACGAUGAAACUCCGGUGAGAGACCACCGGAGAAGAUGACCGGAGUGUUCCAGGUUGUAUGAGUUUGGCCAGACACGUUGGACAAUGAAAUGUUUACAUUGGUUAAUUUUGAAUUGGAUCUCGUGUGUUGUUUGUAUUGCAUUCCAUCAUGCGCCCUAACUUGAGGAGUGUUAGAUUUGCCACGUCAGUUAAUGAUGCAUGAUCCAACACUCAUGUUUUUUUUAAUUCUUUUUCUUUUAUUAUUUUUAAUUUCUUUUUCUUUUAAAAUUCAUAGUAAUUCCAUUUUUCAUCCAAAAAAUCCCAAA
RNAcentral lists this long non-coding RNA (478 nucleotides) under Lathyrus oleraceus (garden pea). RNAcentral describes it as "Pisum sativum (pea) long non-coding RNA (PSAT_LNC005117)". Lineage: Eukaryota; Viridiplantae; Streptophyta; Magnoliopsida; Fabales; Fabaceae. The record is from RNAcentral.